UGCCGCGUGUGUGAAGAAGGCCUUAUGGUUGUAAAGCACUUUAAGCGAGGAGGAGGCGCUCUAGGCUAAUACCCUAGAAGCGUGGACGUUACUCGCAGAAUAAGCACCGGCUAACUCUGUGCCAGCAGCCGCGGUAAUACAGAGGGUGCGAGCGUUAAUCGGAUUUACUGGGCGUAAAGCGUGCGUAGGCGGUCAUUUAAGUCAAAUGUGAAAUCCCCGAGCUUAACUUGGGAAUUGCAUUCGAUACUGGAUGGCUAGAGUAUGGGAGAGGAUGGUAGAAUUCCAGGUGUAGCGGUGAAAUGCGUAGAGAUCUGGAGGAAUACCGAUGGCGAAGGCAGCCAUCUGGCCUAAUACUGACGCUGAGGUACGAAAGCAUGGGGAGCAAACAGGAUUAGAUACCCUGGUAGUCCAUGCCGUAAACGAUGUCUACUAGCCGUUGGGGCCUUUGAGGCUUUAGUGGCGCAGCUAACGCGAUAAGUAGACCGCCUGGGGAGUACGGUCGCAAGACUAAAACUCAAAUGAAUUGACGGGGGCCCGCACAAGCGGUGGAGCAUGUGGUUUAAUUCGAUGCAACGCGAAGAACCUUACCUGGUCUUGACAUAGUAAGAACUUUCCAGAGAUGGAUUGGUGCCUUCGGGAACUUACAUACAGGUGCUGCAUGGCUGUCGUCAGCUCGUGUCG
RNAcentral lists this ribosomal RNA (681 nucleotides) under Acinetobacter sp. SDDC12. Its description in RNAcentral is "bacterial SSU rRNA". It matches the Rfam family "Bacterial small subunit ribosomal RNA", at positions 395 to 1067 of the family's 1533-position model. The record is from RNAcentral. Lineage: Bacteria; Pseudomonadati; Pseudomonadota; Gammaproteobacteria; Moraxellales; Moraxellaceae.